Molecule: ribosomal RNA, 467 nt
Filed under: uncultured bacterium
Lineage: Bacteria
Description: partial 16S ribosomal RNA
Rfam family: Bacterial small subunit ribosomal RNA
Source: RNAcentral
GAUGAACGCUGGCGGCGUGCUUAACACAUGCAAGUCGAACGGAAAGGCCCAAGCUUGCUUGGGUACUCGAGUGGCGAACGGGUGAGUAACACGUGGGUGAUCUGCCCUGCACUUCGGGAUAAGCCUGGGAAACUGGGUCUAAUACCGGAUAGGACCACAUUUUGGAUGGUGUGGUGGAAAGUUUUUCGGUGUGGGAUGAGCUCGCGGCCUAUCAGCUUGUUGGUGGGGUAAUGGCCUACCAAGGCGUCGACGGGUAACCGGCCUGAGAGGGUGUACGGCCACAUUGGGACUGAGAUACGGCCCAGACUCCUACGGGAGGCAGCAGUGGGGAAUAUUGCACAAUGGGCGCAAGCCUGAUGCAGCGACGCCGCGUGGGGGAUGACGGCCUUCGGGUUGUAAACUCCUUUCGCUAGGGACGAAGCGUUUUUGUGACGGUACCUGGAGAAGAAGCACCGGCUAACUACGUG